RNAcentral lists this long non-coding RNA (3190 nucleotides) under Triticum aestivum (bread wheat). RNAcentral's name for it is "long non-coding RNA (TAES_LNC019559)". Lineage: Eukaryota; Viridiplantae; Streptophyta; Magnoliopsida; Poales; Poaceae. The record is from RNAcentral.
AACAUAAAUAAGUCAUACAAGCAUCAUAAUACAAGCCAGGGGCCUCGAGGGCUCGAAUACAAAAUACAAGUGCUCGAUCACAGACGAGUCAGCGGAAACAAUAAUAUCUGAGUACAGACAUAAGUUAAACAAGUUUGCCUUAAGAAGGCUAGCACAAAAGUAGCAACGAUCGAAAAGGCAAGGCCUCCUGCCUGGGACCUCCAAACUACUCCUCGAAGCCGAACUCCAUGUAGAAUCAUCCUCGGGAUCUCUAGCUCCUGGACUCCAGCAUCUGGUUGCGACAACCAGGUAUAGAAAGGGGAAAAGAGGGAGAAAAGCAACCGUGAGUACUCAUCCAAAGUACUCGCAAGCAAGGAGCUACACUACAUAUGCAUGGGUAUACGUGUAAAGGGCCAUAUCGGUGGACUGAACUGCAGAAUGCCAGAAUGAGAGGGGGAUAGCUAAUAUUGUCGAAGACUACGCUUCUGAUAGCCUCCAUCUUGCAGCAUGUAGAAGAGAGUAGAUUGAAGUCCUCCAAGUAGCAUCGUAUAGCAUAAUCCUACCCGGCGAUCCCCUCCUCGUCGCCCUAUUAGAGAGCGAUCACCGGGUUGUAUCUGGCACUUGGAAGGGUGUGUUUUAUUAAGUAUCCAAUUCUAGUUGUCAUAAGGUCAAGGUACAACUCCGGGUCGUCCUUUUACCGAGGGACAUGGCUAUUCGAAUAGAUAAACUUCCCUGCAGGGGUGCACCACAUAACCCAACACGCUCGAUCCCAUUUGGCCGGAUACACUUUUCUGGGUCAUGCCCGGCCUCGUAAGAUCAACACGUCGCAACCCCACCUAGGCUCAACAGAGAGGUCAACACGCCGGUCUAAAUCCUAUGCGCGCAGGGGUCUGGGCCCAUCGCCCAUUGCACACCUGCACGUUGCGUACGCGGCCGGAAGCAGACCUAGCCUAGUGGCGUUCCAGUCCAAUCCGGCGCGCGCCGCGCGGUCGCUGACGUCACGAAGGCUUCGGCUGAUACCACGACGUCGGGAUACCCAUAACUACUCCCGCGUAGAUGGUUAGUGCGUAUAGACCAAAUGGCCAGACUCAGAUCAAAUACCAAGAUCUCGUUAAGCGUGUUAAGUAUCCGCGAACGCCGACCAGGGCCAGGCCCACCUCUCUCCUAGGUGGUCUCAACCUGCCCUGUCACUCCGCCAUAAAGUAACAGUCGGGGGCCGUCAGGAACCCAGGCCCACCUCUACCGGGAUGGAGCCACCCGUCCUUUCAGCCCCCUCAUCAGAAUCACUUGCGGGUACUCAACGAGCCGACCCGACUUUAGUCACCACAUGUGUCAUGUAUAUAAGGUACAUAGUAUAUACCCGUGAUCACCUCCCGAAGUGAUCACGGCCCAGUAGUAUAGCAUGGCAGACGGACAAGAGUGUAGGGCCACUGAUGGAACACUAGCAUCCUAUACUAAGCAGUAGGAUAGCAGGUAAGGGUAACAACUGUAGCAAUAAUGACAGACUAUGCAGCAGAAUAGGAUUAACGAAAGCAGUAACAUGCUACACUACUCUAAUGCAAGCAGUAGAGAGAAGAAUAGGCGAUAUCUGGUGAUCAAGGGGGGCUUGUCUGGUUGCUCUGGCAAGUAGGAGGGGUCGUCAACUCCGUAGUCGAACUGGGCAGCAGCAGCGUCGGUCUCGUAGUCUACCGGAGAGAAGAGGGGGAAGAAACAGUAAAUACAAUGCAAACAUAAGCAUGACGAUGCGUGACAUCCCGGCAACAGGCCUACUCAUGCAUGUGGCCCAUGACAAUGAGUGGUGCUAGGUGUGCCCUAACGCGGCAGUAGGUGGUACCGGCGAAGGGGGGAACAUCCGGGAAAGUAUUCCCGAUGUUUCGCGUUUUCGCACAGACGGACCGGAGGGGGAAAGUUCCAUGUUCGCUAUGCUAGGAACGUGUGGCUGACAAACGGACUGCGUAUUCGGAUUCGUCUCGUCGUUCUGAGCAACUUUCAUGUACAAAGUUUUUCCAUCCGAGCUACGGUUUAUUUUAUAUUAAAUUUUAAAGAUUUAAAUCAUUUUUAGAAUUUAAUAAAUUAAUUUAAUUCAAAAUUUAAUUAAUGCAUCAGCAUGACGUCAGCAGUCAACGUUGACCGUUGACCUGGUCAACCUGACAGGUGGGUCCCACCUGUCAGGGGCUGUUAGCUAAUUAACUACUGUUUAAUUAAAUUAACUAAUUAAUUAGAUUAAUUUAAACAGGAUUAGUUAACUUAAUUAAUUUAAUUAAUUAAAUUUAUUUUUAUUAUUUAUUUUAUUUAUAUUUUCUUGUAAUUCUUUUUUUUCCACGAGCGGGCCCCACGUGUCUGUGACUAUGGGGAUAGCUUAGGUGGGGGGGGAUUAGCCCCGCUAAUCAGAACAGGGGGGAAUCCGGUUGGGCACGCGUAGCAGGAGCCACGGCCACCGCGCGGCCGCGAAGGCAAGCGGCGCCGGCAGCGGCCCGGCGGAAGUGGCGGCAGGGGCGGCGAGCGGCGCGGUUUAGGCCGUGGGUGGUCGCGGUCGCGGGCGCAGCCACGGCGCGGCAAGAGGCGGCCAAGGCGCGCGGGCGUCGCCAGGAGCCCGCGGAGGCGGAGCUCCGGCCGUGGCGGAUGGCAGCGCGGGGGCGGCGUUGAGCAGCGGCAGGCGGCGGGGUGAUGUGGGCGAGCAAUGAGCGCGGUGGUCGCGGGCAUCAGCGAGCGGCGGACGGAGCACGACGAUAAGCAGGGGCGCAGCAGCGGGCGUGCCCAGAUGCGGGCGGGCACGCGCGGGGAGUAGGGGAACAGGGCGCGGCGGAUGUGGGGCUGGGCACAGUCAGAAUCGAUGGUUGGGACCACGUCCGGCGGCGGUGGAGCUACAGACGCGGCUGCGAGUGCUCGAGCUCGAAUCCGAGCUCGGGAAAAAGGCGGGGAGGUAGGCGGGGCUCACAUUGAGGGGAAGACGGGCUCGGGGAGGCCGGGAGGUCGCGGUGGAGUGGAGCCAUGAGGGGGCAGAGGCGGCUUCCGCCGAGGGAAUCGAUGCGGGAGAUGGCGCGGCAACGUCUCGGUCCAAGCUAGCAGGCGCAGGCGAUGUGGACGACGAUGGAGGUCCUCCUGAACAUGCGCGGGCGUCGUGGGGAGGCAAGUGGCCGCGGGAUCGAGCGACGCAUGUCGACGGCGGCGUCGGGCGAGGGAAGAGGAAGAGGGGAGAGGCGAGAGGGUG